GGAGAGGUGCCGGAGCGGCUGAACGGGGCGGUCUCGAAAACCGUUGUGGGAGCGAUCCCACCCAGGGUUCAAAUCCCUGUCUCUCCG
Molecule: transfer RNA, 87 nt
Filed under: Magnetospira sp. QH-2
Lineage: Bacteria; Pseudomonadati; Pseudomonadota; Alphaproteobacteria; Rhodospirillales; Thalassospiraceae
Rfam family: tRNA
About the family: Transfer RNA (tRNA) molecules are approximately 80 nucleotides in length.
Source: Rfam by way of RNAcentral